RNAcentral lists this long non-coding RNA (349 nucleotides) under Triticum aestivum (bread wheat). RNAcentral's name for it is "long non-coding RNA (TAES_LNC022697)". Lineage: Eukaryota; Viridiplantae; Streptophyta; Magnoliopsida; Poales; Poaceae. The record is from RNAcentral.
GCCUUGAGACGCAGGCGUACCCGGACGCCGUCAAUCACCCCGAGUUCCCGUCGGUGACAGUCAGGCCCGGCCAGGUGUACAAGCACGACAUGCUCUACAAGUUCUCCUUCUAGCUAAGGCUGGACUAUGGCUGCGCUACGCCAGUAGUAGUAGUACCACCAUUGGUUAAUGGGCCGUAGAUGUGUUCACUCUGGAUUUGGAGGUGGCGCGAUUCGUGGGACUGGAUGCUGUUAUGCGGUGAGCCCAGAACGGCUACGGUGCUUGGAAAAUAAAAUCAUGCGUUUGUGCAGUGCAAAAGAUCCGCUCAAUAAGAAAAAAGAAAUAAAAAUUGUGCGAACAUUAGUCCUUU